Molecule: unclassified non-coding RNA, 344 nt
Filed under: Hevea brasiliensis (rubber tree)
Lineage: Eukaryota; Viridiplantae; Streptophyta; Magnoliopsida; Malpighiales; Euphorbiaceae
Source: RNAcentral
UAGAGCCCAAAUAGAUUUCAAAUGAGGUAAUUAGGUCAAGCAUAUCAUUGGCCAGGUCAAAAGCUUCUUGUGGAGGUGGUGAAGCUUCAGUAGCGUCUUUAAGUAUAAGAUUGAGUAACUUGGCUGCGUAGCUAAAAGAGCUCUUCAGACAGAUAAUACUGUCUUUCAAAUUAUCCUCCUUAAAUUGCUGUCCUUCAAAAUAUUGUUGUCCCAAGACAAAGAUGACGUGUUUUACAUAUGAUGAUGUAAAACUUAAGCACCUUCUGUUAAGGUGAGAAAGAAAGCCCAUUGCAGUGGAAUCAACAAUGAACUUGAGAACUGCAGUAAGCAUCUUCACCUUUUUU